Molecule: long non-coding RNA, 881 nt
Organism: Paramisgurnus dabryanus
Lineage: Eukaryota; Metazoa; Chordata; Actinopteri; Cypriniformes; Cobitidae
Source: RefSeq, a predicted model, not a curated record
UCAUAUUGUCUUGAGUGCUGUUUUUAAUAUAAAAAGAAUGUUGAGUUUUCAGAGUCUUUAUUGUCAUUUUUGUGAUAGGACCCUACCAGACUAUAUUUGAAUACGGCAUACCCAUGAAUUCUGGAACUGUUAUUCCUUAACCCAGUUUGGAGGAUAAGAGCUUACCAACUAGUUAUAAAUAUGCUGAGGUGAUGUAUUGCAAAAUAGCCAACAUACAACAAUUAAAGGAUAAUUGCAGACUACAUCCUGAUGAAGAUAUGGGUGACCCUCUGUCUGGUCAACAGGAGUUUAAAUAUGGACGGGACAGUGAUGUGGCAGCUCUUCCCUGGCUCAUUCACCUCUUGCCUUCAUUUGUGAAAGGAAGAAAGACUGGAGAGGGUCAAUGUGCAACUGAAGCUACUGAUUGUGCUGUGUGAUGAGCAUCAAUCCAUGCUUUGAGGGGUAUGAAUCAGCACAGCCCUGCCUGCUCUGUGUUGGGAACAGAAGUUGCAUCCAGAAUUUUUGCAUCAUUCUGGACCAAAAAGCCAUUCCCUCCAUGAUGAAGACCACUGAUGCAGCCUUCCACUACAUCAUGAGUAAAACAACUUAAGAACUAAAUACCAGGUUGGAACGUAUUUAAGAAAAAUGAAACGUCUUUUGAAUUGAAAUGUCUGUUUUGUUAUGGAAAAAUCUUUAGUAUUGUGAAGGAUAAGCAUUUCUGCCUGCCAGUAAGGUAAUUGCAGUGUAUUUUAAUGUUCAAGUUUUGAGUAGGGUGGCUAAUUUUUUUUAACUCAUUUGAUUUAUUAAAGACCUUAUAAUAAGUGGUUUUCAUGUCACUGCGCUGUGGUAUAAGAUAACUUUCAUUAUUCCAUACUGAAUUCUGCUUCUAAUUGUAGCUGUGG